GGCGGAUGAGCCCAAGGGGUUAAGGGCGGG
Molecule: transfer RNA, 30 nt
Filed under: Streptanthus platycarpus
Lineage: Eukaryota; Viridiplantae; Streptophyta; Magnoliopsida; Brassicales; Brassicaceae
Description: partial tRNA-His
Source: RNAcentral